Molecule: unclassified non-coding RNA, 315 nt
Filed under: plant metagenome
Description: partial contains 5.8S ribosomal RNA, internal transcribed spacer 2, and large subunit ribosomal RNA
Rfam family: 5.8S ribosomal RNA (bases 1-105)
Source: RNAcentral
GAACUGCGAUAAGUAAUGUGAAUUGCAGAAUUCAGUGAAUCAUCGAGUCUUUGAACGCACAUUGCGCCCCCUGGCAUUCCGGGGGGCAUGCCUGUCCGAGCGUCAUUGCUGCCCUUCAAGCCCGGCUUGUGUGUUGGGUCGUCGUCCCCCUCGGGGGACGGGCCCGAAAGGCAGCGGCGGCACCGUGUCCGGUCCUCGAGCGUAUGGGGCUUUGUCACCCGCUCGAUUAGGGCCGGCCGGGCGCCAGCCGGCGUCUCCAACCUUAUUUUUCUCAGGUUGACCUCGGAUCAGGUAGGGAUACCCGCUGAACUGAAG